This 47-nucleotide non-coding RNA is filed under the name unclassified sequences. Its description in RNAcentral is "chromate-resist RNA". It matches the Rfam family "chrB-b RNA". The record is from RNAcentral.
UGGGGAUGCAGACUCCCCAUCAGACGGCCAUCCCGUCCAAGCUCUGC